This 70-nucleotide transfer RNA is filed under the name Monognathus jesperseni. Its description in RNAcentral is "tRNA-Trp". It matches the Rfam family "tRNA". Rfam says of the family: Transfer RNA (tRNA) molecules are approximately 80 nucleotides in length. The record is from RNAcentral. Lineage: Eukaryota; Metazoa; Chordata; Actinopteri; Anguilliformes; Monognathidae.
AAAGAUUUAGGAUCAGUAAGACCGAAAGCCUUCAAAGCUUUAAGUGAGGGUCUAACUCCCUCAAUCUUUA